UGCAGUCAGAGCGGAGUUUUGAAAAGCUUGCUUUUCAAAACUUAGCGGCGGACGGGUGAGUAACACGUGGGCAACCUGCCCUUGAGACGGGGAUAACUCCGGGAAACCGGAGCUAAUACCGGAUAACACAUAUCUUCGCAUGAGGAUAUGUUAGAAGGUGGCUUUUAGCUACCACUCAAGGAUGGGCCCGCGGCGCAUUAGCUAGUUGGUGAGGUAACGGCUCACCAAGGCGACGAUGCGUAGCCGACCUGAGAGGGUGAUCGGCCACACUGGGACUGAGACACGGCCCAGACUCCUACGGGAGGCAGCAGUAGGGAAUCUUCCGCAAUGGACGAAAGUCUGACGGAGCAACGCCGCGUGAGUGAUGAAGGUUUUCGGAUCGUAAAGCUCUGUUGUUAGGGAAGAACAAGUAUCUGUUGAAUAAGCAGGUACCUUGACGGUACCUAACCAGAAAGCCACGGCUAACUACGUGCCAGCAGCCGCGGUAAUACGUAGGUGGCAAGCGUUGUCCGGAAUUAUUGGGCGUAAAGCGCGCGCAGGCGGUUCCUUAAGUCUGAUGUGAAAGCCCACGGCUCAACCGUGGAGGGUCAUUGGAAACUGGGGAACUUGAGUGCAGAAGAGGAGAGCGGAAUUCCACGUGUAGCGGUGAAAUGCGUAGAGAUGUGGAGG
This 669-nucleotide ribosomal RNA is filed under the name Bacillus sp. (in: firmicutes). RNAcentral's name for it is "bacterial SSU rRNA". It matches the Rfam family "Bacterial small subunit ribosomal RNA", at positions 56 to 704 of the family's 1533-position model. The record is from RNAcentral. Lineage: Bacteria; Bacillati; Bacillota; Bacilli; Caryophanales; Bacillaceae.